CAUCAAAGUCCGAACUCCAACCUUCACGUGGUGUUGAGUGUAAGUAAGUGAAAUCAUCACUGAAACUAAUAGAGU
Molecule: non-coding RNA, 75 nt
Filed under: Nasonia vitripennis (jewel wasp)
Lineage: Eukaryota; Metazoa; Arthropoda; Insecta; Hymenoptera; Pteromalidae
Source: RNAcentral